AGGACGAACGCUGGCGGCGUGCUUAACACAUGCAAGUCGAGCGGAAAGGCCCUUCGGGGUACUCGAGCGGCGAACGGGUGAGUAACACGUGAGUAAUCUGCCCCUAGCUCUGGGAUAGCUCCGGGAAACCGGGAUUAAUACUGAAUACGACCACCUUAGACAUCUUUUGUGGUGGAAAGAAUUUCGGCUAGGGAUGAGCUCGCGGCCUAUCAGCUUGUUGGUGGGGUAACGGCCUACCAAGGCGACGACGGGUA
RNAcentral lists this ribosomal RNA (254 nucleotides) under uncultured bacterium. RNAcentral describes it as "partial small subunit ribosomal RNA". It matches the Rfam family "Bacterial small subunit ribosomal RNA", at positions 26 to 285 of the family's 1533-position model. The record is from RNAcentral.